Molecule: unclassified non-coding RNA, 309 nt
Filed under: Hevea brasiliensis (rubber tree)
Lineage: Eukaryota; Viridiplantae; Streptophyta; Magnoliopsida; Malpighiales; Euphorbiaceae
Source: RNAcentral
GCUGCUUCUUCUAUAGCAAGUGCCGAUCAGGAAUCACUGCUUAUUCGACCGUUAAUGCCGUAUGCCUAAAACCGAACCACGCUAAUUCAAUCUAAUGGGCCCCCCUCCGCUCUGGCUAACAAUUUGAAUCGCCUUCUCCUGCCCUAGGACUCGUAGUGCACUCACUCCCUUUAGAGUUAGCUUGAGCCUACCUUUGCACACCUCCGUUACUCUUUAGUGGGUUUUUAUUCUUUUAUCUUAUUUUCCUCUUCCUCGUUUGCUUAGUCCUUAUUAGCGAGAGUUGAGUUUUGACUGAGAGUAGUAUCUCCA